This 19-nucleotide small nuclear RNA is filed under the name Arabidopsis thaliana (thale cress). RNAcentral describes it as "snRNA_03300". Lineage: Eukaryota; Viridiplantae; Streptophyta; Magnoliopsida; Brassicales; Brassicaceae. The record is from RNAcentral.
AGCCGUCACACGGAAUCGA